UACGGAGGAUGCGAGCGUUAUCCGGAUUUAUUGGGUUUAAAGGGUGCGUAGGCGGCUUUUUAAGUCAGCGGUGAAAUUUUGCAGCUUAACUGUAAAAGUGCCUUCGAAACUGGUUUCCUUGAGUGUAGAUGAAGUAGGCGGAAUUUGUGGUGUAGCGGUGAAAUGCAUAGAUAUCACGAGGAACUCCGAUUGCGCAGGCAGCUUACUAAACCAUAACUGACGCUCAGGCACGAAGGCGUGGGGAUCAAACAGGAUUAGAUACCCGGGUAGUCCCUGA
RNAcentral lists this ribosomal RNA (277 nucleotides) under uncultured prokaryote. RNAcentral describes it as "partial 16S ribosomal RNA". It matches the Rfam family "Bacterial small subunit ribosomal RNA", at positions 524 to 800 of the family's 1533-position model. The record is from RNAcentral.